UACGUAGGGUGCAAGCGUUGUCCGGAAUUAUUGGGCGUAAAGAGCUCGUAGGCGGUUUGUUGCGUCGGCUGUGAAAUCCCGAGGCUCAACCUCGGGUCUGCAGUCAAUACGAGCAAACUAGAGUGUUGCAGGGGAGACUGGAAUUCCUGGUGUAGCGGUGAAAUGCGCAGAUAUCAGGAGGAACACCGGUGGCGAAGGCGGGUCUCUGGGCAACAACUGACGCUGAGGAGCGAAAGCGUGGGGAGCAAACAGG
Molecule: ribosomal RNA, 253 nt
Filed under: uncultured bacterium
Lineage: Bacteria
Description: partial 16S ribosomal RNA
Rfam family: Bacterial small subunit ribosomal RNA
Source: RNAcentral